This 4333-nucleotide long non-coding RNA is filed under the name Citrus maxima (pomelo). RNAcentral's name for it is "long non-coding RNA (CMAX_LNC000445)". Lineage: Eukaryota; Viridiplantae; Streptophyta; Magnoliopsida; Sapindales; Rutaceae. The record is from RNAcentral.
AGACUUUAAAACGAAUCACAAUAAAUAAUAUAUAUGUUUGACUUGUAUGAAAAGCCUAUUUUGAUAUGUACGAAUAUGGAUUUAUAUGUCUCUGCUCAUGUGUUUAUGUGAUGUGUUGUUAUGUAAUGGGCGUGAUUAUGUACAUGGGCAUAUAUAUGUGUGAUGGUUCAUUGGCAUGAGCACGAAAAUGCAUUGAGUUUUCUAUGAAUGAGAAAGUGGAUUUUAGCAAAUUGAAUUUAUGUUUUAUGAGAUUUUGCAUUGGGGGCCACCUCUUGAAGUUGUGUGGGGGCCACCUCUUGAGACUAUGCAGGGGCCACCUCUUGAGGGCUAGAGUCCCGCAAAGUGCCACGCAUGGUGCAAAGUGCCACGCACAACACAAAGUGCCACAUUGUAGGAUACGUAUUUCAUCGAAAGAAAAUGAGAAAGUUUGAAAGCGACAGAAAGAGAUUUUUAUGAAUUAAUUUUACAGUAUUUCUAAAAGAUCAUGGCAUAUCAUCCAUUGCAUUAUGUAUAAGUAUGUAUGUAUUUUCUAUAAGAAAAACUAGUUUGCUUACUGAGUUUUGUACUCAUUAUAGUUUAUUGUGAUUCAGUUUCCAGAAGUCAGGAUUGAUUCGUGAUGAGUGACAAGUUGAAGAUGGUAGAUGGUUUCGCUAAAUUUUUUAGUUAUUCCGCUGGCUUUUGUAUUUGAUGCUCGAAUUUUAUUGUUUGUAAAGAGUUAUUUAAAUCAUAUGUGAGUUGUGGACAUAUUUGCCCUUGGAUUUCGGACUGGGGUGUUAUAUUUCGAGGGGCCUCCGUGUGCCAAAAAUAGGCCGCGGGAAAUGCCGCGCCAAAAAUAUCCGCCCGAAGGCCCGCGCCAAGUUCGUCCAGCGGAAAAAGGCCACAAAAACGGGUGGGCUAUAGCCUUGGGGGGUGGGGCUGGCCAACUUCGUCCGCCGGAAUCGGAAUGCCGCGAGACUUUGCUAGGGGCUUCCAUUUGCCAAAAAUAGGCCGCAGACAAAGCCGCGCCCAAAAAUAACCGCCCGAAGGCCGGGGCGCGAAGCUCGUCCAGCGGAAAAAGGCCACAAAAACGGGUGGGCUAUAGCCUUGGGGGUGGGGCUGGCCAACUUCGUCCGCCGGACUCGGAAUGCCGCGAGACUUUGCGAGGGGCCUCCGUGUGCCAAAAAUAGGCCGCGGGCAAAGCCGCGCCCAAAAAUAACCACCCGAAGGCCGGGGCGCCAAGUUCGUCCACCGGAAAAAGGCCACAAAAACGGGUGGGCUAUAGCCUUGGGGGGUGGGGCUGGCCAACUUCGUCCGCCGGACUCGGAAUGCCGCGAGACUUUACGAGGGGCCUCCGUGUGCCAAAAAUAGGCCGCGGGCAAAGCUGCGCCCAAAAAUAACUGCCCGUAGGCUGGGGCGCCAAGUUCGUCCAGCGGAAAAAGGCCACAAAAACGGGUGGGCUAUAGCCUUGGGGGGUGGGGCUGGCCAACUUCGUCCGCUGGACUCGGAAUGCCGCGAGACUUUGCCAGGGGCCUCUGUGUGCCAAAAAUAGGCCGCGGACAAAGCCACGCCCAAAAAUAACCGGCCGAAGGCCGGGGCGCCAAGUUCGUCCAGCGGAAAAAGGUCACAAAAACGGGUGGGCUAUAACCUUGGGGGGUUGGGCUGGCCAACUUCGUCCGCCGAACUCGGAAUGCCGCGAGACUUUGCGAGGGGCCUCCGUGUACCAAAAAUAGGCCGCGGACAAAGCCGCGCCAAAAAUAACCGCCCGAAGGCCGGGGCGCCAAGUUCGUCCAUCGGAAAAAGGCCACAAAAACGGGUGGGCUAGCCUUGGGGGGUGGGGCUGGCCAACUUCGUCCGCCGGACUCGGAAUGCGGCAAGACUUCUUGAGGGGCCUCCAUGUGCCAAAAAUAGGCCACGCCCAAAAAUAACCGUCCGAAGGCCGGGGCGCCAAGUUCGUCCAGCGGAAAAAGGCCACAAAAACGGGUGGGCUAUAGCCAUGGGGGGUGGGGCUGGCCAACUUCGUCCGCCGGACUUGGAAAGCCGCGAGACUUUGCGAGGGGCCUCCGUGUGCCAAAAAUAGGCCGCGGGCAAAGCUGCGCCCAAAAAUAACCCCCGAUGGGCAGGGCGCCAAGUUCGUCCAGCAGAAAAAGGCCACAAAAACGGGUGGGCUAUAGCCUUGGGGGGUGGGGCUGGCCAACUUCGUCCGCCGGACUCGGAAUGCCGUGAGACUUUGCGAGGGGCCUCUGUGUGCAAAAAAUAAGCCGCGGACAAAGCCGCGCCCAAAAAUAACCGCCCGAAGGCCGGGGCGCCAAGUUCGUCCAGCGGAAAAAGGCCACAAAAACGGGUGGGCUACAGCCUUGGGGGGUGGGGCUGGCCAACUUCGUCCGCCGGACUCGGAAAGCGGCAAGACUUUGCGAGGGGCCUCCGUGUGCCAAAAAUAGGCCGCGCCCAAAAAUAACCGCCCGAAGGCCGGGGCGCCAAGUUCGUCCAGCGGAAAAAGGUCACAAAAACGGGUGGGCUAUAGCCUUGGGGGGUGGGGCUGGCCAACUUCGUCCGCCGGACUCGGAAUACUGCGAGACCUUGCGAGGGGCCUCCGCGGGCAAAGCCGCGCCCAAAAAUAACCGCCCGAAGGCCGGGGCGCCAAGUUCGUCCAGCGGAAAAAGGCCACAAAAACGGGUGGGCUAUAGCCUUGGGGGGUGGGGCUGGCCAACUUCGUCCGCCGGGCUCGGAAUGCCGCGAGACUUUUCGUGUAAUACCCCAAAUCUCCUAAGGGUAUUUAAGUCUUUUUAAUUUUUAGUGAUCCUUUUUACCCUAAUAUAAAUAGAACAAGAUGUAUUUUUCAUUAUAAGAGAGAGAAAAAGAGGGAUCGGUUGAAAAAGAGAGAUGGAGAGACAAGAGAGAAAAGAAAAGAAAAAAGAGAAGAAGAAAGUCUUCUUCUUCUUCUUAGUUUUGCCAUAGACAACACAUUGGAUCAAGUUGUUAUUGUUGGGAGAAGUUUUGGAGGUACGUUUUAAUUAUUGGUUUCUAUUAACUUGUUGUGGAGAAGCAUGAUUGCAAUAGAAGUAGAAAUCAAAGAUUUUACAUAAAUAUGCUGACAGUGAAUCAUUACGAAAAUCAUAGUAAUUUGUACAAAUUGAUUUUGAUUCUGUUUUUUGGGUAUGUUAAACUAGACAUUGUCUAAUAUGUUUUGAAACUUGUUUCAAGUUAAUCGGAUAAGAUUUCGAUUAAUUAUGAUUUUUCAAAUUCAAGUCUGAAAACCUGGAAAUUUAUGAUUUCAGUGAAUUACGAAAUUAUUUCUACCAUAUCUAGACUCCUUCAAAAAUUAUGAAAUUUGGACCAAUGAUUUUUAUAUAUGUCUAGUAUGAUUCUGGAAAUUUUCAUGAUUUUAUGAUCAAGAAAUAAAUUGUUUUGUAUUUUUAAAGCAAGUGUGUUCAAAACAGAAAACUGUUUGACAGUAUUGAUGAUGUCUGAAACGUGAAUUAUUUUCAAUCUUUUUGGAAGGAAUUAUGUUAUGAAAUUUUUAUCAAUGAACUUUCAAUGUGUCAGCAUAUGGUCUGUAAAAUUUGAGAUUCUUCCAAUAAGAGAAUAAUUUAUUAAAAAUCGGAGAAAUAUGGACUGUUAUGUUUUGAGGGCCGAUUAUUGAGGACAUUUGAGGUUGAGCUUAAGAGUUAUUUAAAUUGAGAUAUUUGAGGACAUUAGAGUUUAUGAUUGAGAUUUGAUUAUAUCUUAUGAGAAUUUAUUGAUGAUUUUAGGUUGAUGGUAUCAGUACGCAUUUGUUACAUGAGGAUGCCAAGAGGUAAGUAAACUAGACUUUAAAACGAAUCACAAUAAAUAAUAUAUAUGUUUGACUUGUAUGAAAAGCCUAUUUUGAUAUGUACGAAUAUGGAUUUAUAUGUCUCUGCUCAUGUGUUUAUGUGAUGUGUUGUUAUGUAAUGGGCGUGAUUAUGUACAUGGGCAUAUAUAUGUGUGAUGGUUCAUUGGCAUGAGCACGAAAAUGCAUUGAGUUUUCUAUGAAUGAGAAAGUGGAUUUUAGCAAAUUGAAUUUAUGUUUUAUGAGAUUUUGCAUUGGGGGCCACCUCUUGAAGUUGUGUGGGGGCCACCUCUUGAGACUAUGCAGGGGCCACCUCUUGAGGGCUAGAGUCCCGCAAAGUGCCACGCAUGGUGCAAAGUGCCACGCACAACACAAAGUGCCACAUUGUAGGAUACGUAUUUCAUCGAAAGAAAAUGAGAAAGUUUGAAAGCGACAGAAAGAGAUUUUUAUGAAUUAAUUUUACAGUAUUUCUAAAAGAUCAUGGCAUAUCAUCCAUUGCAUUAUGUAUAAGUAUGUAUGUAUUUUCUAUAAGAAAAACUAGUUUGC